AGGAUGUCGUUUUCCAGUGGCUAAUGGGUGAUAAAAUGUAUCUGAACCAGAUAGAUGCGGAGGACCCCGAGAUCCCAGAUUACACCAUGCUACCAGACACAGGCUGCCUGUCUGUGCGACUACGAGUAUGCUUGCAAGAGGGAGAGGAAAACCCACGAGACUUUACCUCCCUGUUUGACAUGUCUACUCAAGCUAUCAAACACUUUUCCCCAAGUCAUCAGGUGGAAAUACAUACUGCUUUAGAAACUGGACAGACAUCAGUUCAUUACUGUAGGCCAUAGUUGGUGGCUACAUGUUUUGUCUGCUUUGCCUACAUGUUUACGGUGUGUUUGUUGACACCAGUGUGUUUGACUUGUCUCACUGCAGUUCCUACAAGCAGAUGUCAAACAUGAGCCCCUCCAGCUGAUCACACCUCAGUUUGAGACUCCCCUUUCCCAGCUGGAGCCUGCUGUAGGUUUCCCCUCUCCAGCUCUACACAAUCUCACCCAGCUCCUAGCUCAGCCAUCUCACAGAUUGAAUGUGGAUUCUGUACACUCGACUGACAAUGGCAUGUGCACUAGACUGUAUUCAACAACACUUUUUGCUAAUUGACUGGGAUUUAUUAAAAUGGGACAAUACACACUUGAUCAUUGUAGAAAAUUAUACAUUUUCCAUCCCUCUAAAAUGUGUGUGCUCUCCUAUGGAUUGCUUUGAGCAGGUCUUUCCGCCUGUCUUCAGGGACAUGCCUCCCCCCAUGCUUGACCUGGAUGAAACCUUCUCAGAUUGCGUUUGGCACAGCUCUCCAACAAAUGUAAGUGUUAACCACAGGUUAUAUUUGAAUCGAGCAUUAUUAACGGAAAGUGUUCUGUAUUCUUCCUGCAGGCACCGACGACAAGCUAGAGUUCUACGUGAGGAAGUGUGGAUACAUCUUGGGGGUGAGGAGAAGUUGGAUAAAGACCAAAGGGAUGCCAAACACAUCCUGGAGCACAUCAUCUUUCAGGUUGUAGAGUUCAAGAAGCUCAACCAGGAACAUGACACACAGACCAGGUUUUCCCCAUUCUGACCUAUCAACCAGUGACUUCAAACUACAUGACCAAAAAUGUGGACACCUGCUUGUCAAACAUCAUGGGCAUUAAGAGUUGGUCUCCCCUUUGUUGCUAAUACAGCCUUCCACUCUCCUAGUGGAAAGCCUUCCUAGAUGUUGGGACUUGUUUCCGUUCAGCCAGGAGCAUUAGUGAGGUCGGGCGAUUAGGCCUGGGUUACAAUUCAUCCCAAAAGGUGUUUUUGUUCUGACCUCGCACAGGGUAUUGUCAUGUUGAAACAGGGAAUUUACUUCCAAACUGUUGCCACGAAGGUGGAUGUACAGAAUUGUCUAGAAUGUCAUUGUAUGCUGUAGUGUUAAGAUUUCCCUUCACUGGAACUAAAAAGGGCCUAGCCCAAACCAUGAAAAACAGCCCCAGACCAUUAUUCCUCCGAACUUGUUGGCACUAGGACAGAUUGUUUACGCUCUUCAGCAUUCCCGUUCUGUGAGCUCCUGUGGCUUACCACUUCACGGCCGAGCCAUUGUUGCACCUGGAAGUUUACGUCACAAUAACAGCACUUAGUUGACCAGGGCAGUUUUAGCAGGGCAGAAAUUUGACGAUACGUCUUGUUGGAAAGGUGGCACCCUAUCACAUUUAAAGUCACUGAGCGCUUCUACUGCCAAUGUUGGUCUGAGGAGAUUGCAUGGCUGUGCACUCAAUUUUACCCAUGUCCGUAACAGGUGUGGUUAAAAUAGCCAAAUCCACAGUCGAGAUUCUAUAUAGUUUUUCCAUUAAAUAUAAAAAAUGUAACUCCAUAUCCUCCAUCAAACUGAAGAGAUAGUUGAUUUGUGUUCU
Non-coding RNA from Oncorhynchus mykiss (rainbow trout), 1856 nucleotides. The record is from RefSeq and is a predicted model, not a curated record. NCBI's taxonomy places the organism in Eukaryota, Metazoa, Chordata, Actinopteri, Salmoniformes, Salmonidae.